RNAcentral lists this ribosomal RNA (216 nucleotides) under Glomeromycotina sp. RNAcentral describes it as "partial small subunit ribosomal RNA". The stretch from base 40 to 216 matches the Rfam family "Eukaryotic small subunit ribosomal RNA", at positions 686 to 864 of the family's 1831-position model. Lineage: Eukaryota; Fungi; Glomeromycota. The record is from RNAcentral.
GGGUCAGUAGGUUGGUCGUGCCACCGGUACGUACUGGUCUCACUGAUUCCUCCUUCCUGAAGAACCGUGAUGCCAUUAAUUUGGUGUUGCGGGGAAACAGGACUGUUACUUUGAAAAAAUUAGAGUGUUUAAAGCAAGCUAACGCUUGAAUACAUUAGCAUGGAAUAAUGAAAUAGGACGACCGAUCCUAUUUUGUUGGUUUCUAGGAUUGACGUA